RNAcentral lists this ribosomal RNA (220 nucleotides) under uncultured bacterium. Its description in RNAcentral is "partial 16S ribosomal RNA". It matches the Rfam family "Bacterial small subunit ribosomal RNA", at positions 111 to 334 of the family's 1533-position model. The record is from RNAcentral.
UAAUGUAUGGGGAUCUGCCCGAUAGAGGGGGAUAACUACUGGAAACGGUAGCUAAUACUGCAUAACGUCGCAAGACCAAAGUGGGGGACCUUCGGGCCUCAUGCCAUCAGAUGUGCCCAGAUGGGAUUAGCUAGUAGGUGGGGUAACGGCUCACCUAGGCGACGAUCCCUAGCUGGUCUGAGAGGAUGACCAGCCACACUGGAACUGAGACACGGUCCAG